This 253-nucleotide ribosomal RNA is filed under the name uncultured bacterium. RNAcentral's name for it is "partial 16S ribosomal RNA". It matches the Rfam family "Bacterial small subunit ribosomal RNA", at positions 524 to 776 of the family's 1533-position model. The record is from RNAcentral.
UACAGAGGUCUCAAGCGUUGUCCGGAAUUAUUGGGCGUAAAGAGCUCGUAGGCGGUCUGUUGCGUCCGCUGUGAAAACCCGGGGCUUAACCCCUGGCUUGCAGUGGAUACGGACAGACUAGAGGUAGGUAGGGGAGAAUGGAAUUCCCGGUGUAGCGGUGAAAUGCGCAGAUAUCGGGAGGAACACCGGUGGCGAAGGCGGUUCUCUGGGCCUUACCUGACGCUGAGGAGCGAAAGCGUGGGGAGCGAACAGG